GAUGAACGCUGGCGGCGUGCCUAAUACAUGCAAGUCGAGCGAACAGACGAGGAGCUUGCUCCUCUGACGUUAGCGGCGGACGGGUGAGUAACACGUGGAUAACCUACCUAUAAGUCUGGGAUAACUUCGGGAAACCGGAGCUAAUACCGGAUAAUAUAUUGAACCGCAUGGUUCAAUAGUUAAAGACGGUUUUGCUGUCACUUAUAGAUGGAUCCGCGCCGCAUUAGCUAGUUGGUAAGGUAACGGCUUACCAAGGCAACGAUGCGUAGCCGACCUGAGAGGGGGAUCGGCAACACUGGAACUGAGACACGGUCCAGACUACUACGGGAGGAAGCAGUAGGGAAUCUUCCGCAAUGGGCGAAAGCCUGACGGAGCAACGCCGCGUGAGUGAUGAAGGUCUUCGGAUCGUAAAACUCUGUUAUUAGGGAAGAACAAAUGUGUAAGUAACUAUGCACGUCUUGACGGUACCUAAUCAGAAAGCCACGGCUAACUACGUG
Molecule: ribosomal RNA, 497 nt
Filed under: uncultured bacterium
Lineage: Bacteria
Description: partial 16S ribosomal RNA
Rfam family: Bacterial small subunit ribosomal RNA
Source: RNAcentral